Molecule: non-coding RNA, 73 nt
Organism: Caerostris darwini
Lineage: Eukaryota; Metazoa; Arthropoda; Arachnida; Araneae; Araneidae
Source: the annotation of a GenBank genome assembly
UCACGUAUAGUCUAGUGGUUAGGAAUCCUGGCUUUCAACCAGGCGGUCCGGAUUCAAUUCCCGGCAUAGUGAA